UGGGUAUCCCGGGGAAGCUUACACAUGCAGUCGAACGGCAGCACGGACUUCGGUCUGGUGGCGAGUGGCGAACGGGUGAGUAAUGUAUCGGAACGUGCCCAGUAGCGGGGGAUAACUACGCGAAAGCGUAGCUAAUACCGCAUACGCCCUACGGGGGAAAGCAGGGGAUCGCAAGACCUUGCACUAUUGGAGCGGCCGAUAUCGGAUUAGCUAGUUGGUGGGGUAACGGCUCACCAAGGCGACGAUCCGUAGCUGGUUUGAGAGGACGACCAGCCACACUGGGACUGAGACACGGCCCAGACUCCUACGGGAGGCAGCAGUGGGGAAUUUUGGACAAUGGGGGAAACCCUGAUCCAGCCAUCCCGCGUGUGCGAUGAAGGCCUUCGGGUUGUAAAGCACUUUUGGCAGGAAAGAAACGUCGUGGGUUAAUACCCCGCGAAACUGACGGUACCUGCAGAAUAAGCACCGGCUAACUACGUGCCAGCAGCCGCGGUAAUACGUAGGGUGCAAGCGUUAAUCGGAAUUACUGGGCGUAAAGCGUGCGCAGGCGGUUCGGAAAGAAAGAUGUGAAAUCCCAGAGCUUAACUUUGGAACUGCAUUUUUAACUACCGAGCUAGAGUGUGUCAGAGGGAGGUGG
Molecule: ribosomal RNA, 637 nt
Filed under: Achromobacter sp. JDM303
Lineage: Bacteria; Pseudomonadati; Pseudomonadota; Betaproteobacteria; Burkholderiales; Alcaligenaceae
Description: bacterial SSU rRNA
Rfam family: Bacterial small subunit ribosomal RNA
Source: RNAcentral